RNAcentral lists this non-coding RNA (130 nucleotides) under Staphylococcus aureus. RNAcentral describes it as "FMN sequence". It matches the Rfam family "FMN riboswitch aptamer (RFN element)". From Rfam's summary of the family: The RFN element is a highly conserved domain that is found frequently in the 5'-untranslated regions of prokaryotic mRNAs that encode for flavin mononucleotide (FMN) biosynthesis and transport proteins. This element is a metabolite-dependent riboswitch that directly binds FMN in the absence of proteins. The record is from RNAcentral. Lineage: Bacteria; Bacillati; Bacillota; Bacilli; Caryophanales; Staphylococcaceae.
AUUCAUCUUCGGGGUUUGGUGAAAUUCCAUACCGGCGGUUAAAGCCCGCGACCCAAUAUAUGUAUGUAUAUUGGCUGACUUAGUGAAAUUCUAAGGCCGACAGUUAAAGUCUGGAUGGGAGAAGAUGGAG